RNAcentral lists this ribosomal RNA (569 nucleotides) under uncultured archaeon. Its description in RNAcentral is "bacterial SSU rRNA". It matches the Rfam family "Archaeal small subunit ribosomal RNA", at positions 328 to 902 of the family's 1478-position model. The record is from RNAcentral.
GGGUGCACCAGGCGCGAAACCUUUACAAUGCUGGCAACAGCGAUAAGGGGACCUCGAGUGCCACGAUACAAUCGUGGCNGUCUAGUUGCCUAAAAAGCAAUUGAUAGCAAGGGCCGGGCAAGACCGGUGCCAGCCGCCGCGGUAACACCGGCGGCUCGAGUGGUAACCGCUAUUAUUUGGUCUAAAGGGUCUGUAGCCGGCUUAGUCAGUCUUUUGAGAAAUCUGGCCGCUCAACGGUCAGGCGUUCAGGGGAUACUGCUAAAGCUCGAGACCGGGAGAGGUGAGAGGUACUUCAGGGGUAGGGGUGAAAUCUUGUAAUCCUUGAAGGACCACCAGUGGCGAAGGCGUCUCACCAGAACGGAUCUGACGGCAAGGGACGAAAGCUAGGGGCACGAACCGGAUUAGAUACCCGGGUAGUCCUAGCCGUAAACGAUACUCGCUAGGUGUCGGCCACGGUGCGACCGUGGUCGGUGCUGUAGGGAAGCCGUGAAGCGAGCCACCUGGGAAGUACGGCCGCAAGGCUGAAACUUAAAGGAAUUGGCGGGGGAGCACAAGGGCGAUUCGCGGCC